UCAGGUGGUUAUAGCAGUGGGGCUCCACCUCUUCCCAUUCCGAACAGAGAAGUUAAGCCCACUCGCGCCGAUGGUUCUGCGCUGCGUCGUGGAAGAGUAGGUCGCUGCCGUUU
Molecule: ribosomal RNA, 113 nt
Filed under: Candidatus Minthenecus merdequi
Lineage: Bacteria; Pseudomonadati; Bacteroidota; Bacteroidia; Bacteroidales; Paludibacteraceae
Source: RNAcentral